AAGCAACAGGCCCAAGUACCUUGACAGUUCAAUUUUAGCAUUACAGUGUACUCAGUUCACAUUUGAGCCUUGUACUUGUAUUUAGUUUUUACAAAUGUACCUAUUGUUAAUGUACCUAUAUAUAUUGUUGACUUGGUCAAAAUUAAUAACAGAUUUCAUUUUAUUUCCGCACAAAAUAUCUUUUCCCCAAUUCUCAUUCUAUAUCUUUGAUCUCAAUUUUCCUCUUAUGGAAACUUCUCUCAAUUUAUGGUAAUUUGCAAGUCUAACAUGGUAUCAGAGUGAGUUAAUUGAACUCAUCUCGUCACUAUCUUUCGAUCGAUCUUACCCUCCCCAACAGAUUCUUCAGUUUUUUUUUUUUUUUUUUUGAGUUUUCAAAACCCUAAUUUGGUAAAGUUCGCGAUUUGUGUUCGAAGCUAGAUCGCGAUGUGUUCUCGGUUCGAUUUUGAGGUUUCACAGUUCGAUUUGAAGCUUGUCGACGUUGAAUUGACCUGGGUCCUUCUCUGAAGAGACCUCUGGCAAUUGGUAGGGCUGACAAUGGACACUAUUUCCUGUAUUUUGAUGCUGACACUGUGAUACCCUCAUAUGUUUCUACUUUAGAUAUUCCUAAUGCUACUUUUGUAAAUAAUGCAUGUCGUGUUUCUGAUUCUGCCAAUAAUCCUUUUCCCUCUCUCCCCACUUGUAAUAUUUCCACCGAUUUAAAUAAAAAUGAUUUAUUGGCUCCAAAGGAUGGGUCAUAUGCCUUAUAAUAGAAUAAAAUCAAUUAAAUCCAUUUCUAGCAAACUUUCCCCUAAACAGUCAUUCAUUUGCUCUAUUUGUCCAUUUGCAAGACAACAUAAAUUGUCAUUAUCUGAUAGUUCUUCUUCCUUAUCUGCUCCUUUUAAACUGGUCCAUAUUGACAUUUAGGGACCUUACCACACACAAACUUACAAUGGCUUUAGUGUAACACCUCGUGCAUUCGGGCUAGAGUUCGACUUGUAAGAUGGGGGUAUAAUGGAACCGAUAUGAGGAGUAUAGAAAGUGUUUUAAAAACUAAUCAAGUCAUAAUAAAAGUCUUUGGACAAAGCAAAGUUGGAAGCCACUCUACCGAGCAUGUUUUCAAGUGAAUUUGCAGAAGGUCUUACUUCAAGUGCCUCUAACCCUUUAUUAAUUGGGAAUUUGGGAAACCUUCCUUGAUGAAAAUUGUAUCCAUUUGAAAUACUUUCCAACGGUAUAUUAUGGAGGUCAAGCGCACAACUGUACAAAAAGUAAUGAUCGUUUUACUAAAUAGUCGCAGAACUGUCUAAUGAAAUACGUCCCAUAAAUACAGUUUGUAUUUUGAGAUACGGUCCGUAUUUUGUGAAAAAUUCAGCCUUGACAUUCUUUUUUGUGCCAUGAUAAAAUACGGUCCAUAAAUACGGACUGUAUUUAUGGUCCGUAUAUCUCUCGACACAGUUACAUAUAAAUACACCAGUUCAGUCUUCUAAUUCUAUUUUUCAUUCCUUCAAGCCCUAGAAUGAAGUUCCUCUUCUCCUAUCAAUCCAAGUCAUUAAGGUAAGCCCUUCCAAGCCCCUCCAAGUCAAUUCAAACAUGUAUUCAUAUAAUCUAAUUAGAAAAUCAUUGUUCCUCAACUAGAGUUUUCAAGAAAAUCCAUCUCAAAAUUAACUACGUGUGGGAACAUAAUUGUUCUUCCACGCCAUGUUCUUCCAUGAUUAUACGAAAGCUCAUAAAAAAUCUAGGGUUCUAGAUAUGUUCAUGAUAACCCUAAGUACAUGUACCAUGAUAUACCAUGUUUGUAUUAAUAAUUUGUUAUUGUAUUCUUAAUAUUCAUUUUUGGUUAUUGAGAAUCUAUCCGUAAUCCAUGAAAACCUAUACUUUGCAUUCCAUGGCUUCUUACAUGUAAGAUAUGAACUAUUAUGCUUAUUUUCAUGAAAAUCCUACAUGUCUCCAUGUUUUCAUACAAGUAUAUUAUGUAAUUAUAUAUCAUUUUACAUUAUAUUUAUAAUUCAUGUUUACAAAUCGUGUUUAAGAAAAUCAUGGUCUCAGAUGCUACCUAUUUUCGUGUUCAUGUUUUUGGGAGUUGCACAAAUUACCGAGAAAGCUCAGAUAGCCUGAAACUACACUUGCCACCGUAGGAUAAGGAUCGCUCUGCCCAGUUAGGAUGAUUCCUUCAUGUUUUAUUGAUUGGAUCCUUUCAUGUCACGUUUAUAUCUCAUACCCCUAGCAAGGUAUGAGAUUGCUCUGCUGGUCGAGCCAGAUUUACAGGACGACGGAUCAGCUCGUUAAGACACUGCUCGUACCAGCUUUUUGGUGAGCCCCAUCUCAUUCGCGGUUAGUCAGUAUUUAUAUUUCAUGUUAGUUUUGCAGUUAGGGUAUGCCGGGGGCCUUGUCCUGGUAAACAGUUAAGUAGUCAGACUAAUGUUGGAGGUUUCAUAGAUUAUUUAGCUACGUCAUGUCAGAUGUUCAAAGUCGUAUAGCCAGCAUUGGCUCAGCAUUUAUUAUAUUUUCAAAUUAUUUCCAAAUCAUGUUAAACAAUAUUUUCAUUAGUAUUAUGAUAACUCAUGUUAUUCAGACAAUCCAUGUUUUAAAUUUAUAUUCCGCAUUCAGUUCAUGCCCUAUGUUGAUUCAGCA
Molecule: long non-coding RNA, 2607 nt
Organism: Lycium barbarum (goji berry)
Lineage: Eukaryota; Viridiplantae; Streptophyta; Magnoliopsida; Solanales; Solanaceae
Exons: 3
Source: RefSeq, a predicted model, not a curated record